Molecule: transfer RNA, 71 nt
Filed under: Escherichia coli
Lineage: Bacteria; Pseudomonadati; Pseudomonadota; Gammaproteobacteria; Enterobacterales; Enterobacteriaceae
Also listed under: 1 other name
Description: tRNA-Met
Rfam family: tRNA (bases 2-61)
About the family: Transfer RNA (tRNA) molecules are approximately 80 nucleotides in length. Their secondary structure includes four short double-helical elements and three loops (D, anti-codon, and T loops). Further hydrogen bonds mediate the characteristic L-shaped molecular structure. tRNAs have two regions of fundamental functional importance: the anti-codon, which is responsible for specific mRNA codon recognition, and the 3' end, to which the tRNAs corresponding amino acid is attached (by aminoacyl-tRNA synthetases). tRNAs cope with the degeneracy of the genetic code in two manners: having more than one tRNA (with a specific anti-codon) for a particular amino acid; and 'wobble' base-pairing, i.e. permitting non-standard base-pairing at the 3rd anti-codon position.
Source: RNAcentral
UUUAGCUCAGUGGUGAGAGCGAGCGACUCAUAAUCGCCAGGUCGCUGGUUCGAAUCCAGUACAACGCGCCA